GUGCUCACUUCAGCAGCACAUUUACUCAAAUUGGAAGGAUUCAGAGAUCAGCAUGGCCCCUGUUCAAGGACUAUACACAAAUUUUUUUUUUUUU
RNAcentral lists this small nuclear RNA (94 nucleotides) under Canis lupus familiaris (dog). Lineage: Eukaryota; Metazoa; Chordata; Mammalia; Carnivora; Canidae. The record is from RNAcentral.